Molecule: unclassified non-coding RNA, 407 nt
Filed under: Hevea brasiliensis (rubber tree)
Lineage: Eukaryota; Viridiplantae; Streptophyta; Magnoliopsida; Malpighiales; Euphorbiaceae
Source: RNAcentral
UUUUUUUCUCCUCUGGCUCAAAGUGAUAGUAAGGAACCUAACUCAAGUGGAGAGAAAGGAAAUCUGCAAUUGUAUUAGAACAAAAGAUUACAUUAAUGAACUACACCAGCAAUGUCUCACUAUCCUCUCUAGUUCUCAAUACAAGUUUAUUCAAUUGAAACCAUCCAAGUCUCACAGAGAACUUGGCCCAGCAACUAUGCCGAAAUAGAAGAGCUAAGCCCUCCCUGCAGAAAGAAUUCUGCCCCCAAGCUAGUACUCUAGCUGCAAAUUACAAAAUCUUUUUCUCAUGCCUUCCACUCUACCCUUUCUCUUCUAUGUAUAAUCCUCCUAGCUGCUGCAUCACAUGCACCUGAGAAUUACUCCAACAGAAUUGAGAAGAGCUGGCCAACCAAUUGCAAUCCUUCCAG